CCUCCGAGAUUUCUCCUCCAGAUAGCUGGGGCUCUCGCACACCCCCGACAUUUUUUCCCGUUUAAGCGAAUGUUUAGGGCUCUUGGGGCCGAAACUGAUCUCAAC
This 105-nucleotide microRNA precursor is filed under the name Ochotona princeps (American pika). Its description in RNAcentral is "miRNA (ENSOPRG00000023156.1)". The record is from RNAcentral. Lineage: Eukaryota; Metazoa; Chordata; Mammalia; Lagomorpha; Ochotonidae.